GAUAGGACAAACAAAGGCUGGGAAGAGGCAGAGCACGAAUGUAGCUAUCAACAGAAAAUGGUGAAGUCAGAAUGAGAGAAGAGAGAGAUCUGUUGUGGCCACGCUCAUGCACUGCCUCUUCCCUGGCUCUACCUCUUUCUUAUCC
Non-coding RNA from Vigna angularis (adzuki bean), 145 nucleotides. Lineage: Eukaryota; Viridiplantae; Streptophyta; Magnoliopsida; Fabales; Fabaceae. The record is from Rfam.